GACGAACGCUGGCGGCGUGCUUAACACAUGCAAGUCGAACGGAAAGGCCCCAGCUUGCUGGGGUACUCGAGUGGCGAACGGGUGAGUAACACGUGGGUGAUCUGCCCUGCACUCUGGGAUAAGCCUGGGAAACUGGGUCUAAUACCUGUUAGGACCGUGCUUUAGUGUGUGCGGUGGAAAGUUUUUCGGUGCAGGAUGAGCCCGCGGCCUAUCAGCUUGUUGGUGGGGUAAUGGCCUACCAAGGCGGCGACGGGUAGCCGGCCUGGGAGGGUGUACGGCCACAUUGGGACUGAGAGACGGCCCAGACUACUACGGGAGGCAGCAGUGGGGAAUAUUGAACAAUGGGCGCAAGCCUGAUGCAGCGACGCCGCGUGGGGGAUGACGGCCUUCGGGUUGUAAACCCCUUUCGGCAGGGACGAAGCUUUUGUGACGGUACCUGCAUAAGAAGCACCGGCUAACUACGUG
Molecule: ribosomal RNA, 465 nt
Filed under: uncultured bacterium
Lineage: Bacteria
Description: partial 16S ribosomal RNA
Rfam family: Bacterial small subunit ribosomal RNA
Source: RNAcentral